RNAcentral lists this transfer RNA (71 nucleotides) under Loxodonta africana (African savanna elephant). It matches the Rfam family "tRNA". From Rfam's summary of the family: Transfer RNA (tRNA) molecules are approximately 80 nucleotides in length. Their secondary structure includes four short double-helical elements and three loops (D, anti-codon, and T loops). Lineage: Eukaryota; Metazoa; Chordata; Mammalia; Proboscidea; Elephantidae. The record is from Rfam by way of RNAcentral.
GUAGUGGUGGUUCAGUGGUGGAACUCUCGCCUUCCACGCCGGAGACCCAGGUUUGAUUCCUGGCCAGUGCA